GACGAACGCUGGCGGCGUGCUUAACACAUGCAAGUCGAACGCUGAAGGCCCAGCUUGCUGGGUUGGAUGAGUGGCGAACGGGUGAGUAACACGUGAGUAACCUGCCCCCUUCUUUGGGAUAACGGUCGGAAACGGCUGCUAAUACCGGGUAUUCACUGUCCUUCGCAUGGGGGGUGGUGGAAAGGUUUUUUCUGGUGGGGGAUGGGCUCGCGGCCUAUCAGCUUGUUGGUGGGGUGAUGGCUUACCAAGGCUUUGACGGGUAACCGGCCUGAGAGGGUGACCGGUCACAUUGGGACUGAGAUACGGCCCAGACUCCUACGGGAGGCAGCAGUGGGGAAUAUUGCACAAUGGGCGAAAGCCUGAUGCAGCGACGCCGCGUGAGGGAUGGAGGCCUUCGGGUUGUAAACCUCUUUCGCUCAUGGUCAAGCCGCAACAGUGGUUGUGGUGAGGGUAGUGGGUAAAGAAGCACCGGCUAACUACGUGCCAGCAGCCGCGGUAAUACGUAGGGUGCGAGCGUUGUCCGGAACUAUUGGGCGUAAAGGGCUUGUAGGCGGUUUGUCGCGUCUGCCGUGAAAUCCUCUGGCUUAACUGGGGGCGUGCGGUGGGUACGGGCAGGCUUGAGUGCGGUAGGGGAGACUGGAACUCCUGGUGUAGCGGUGGAAUGCGCAGAUAUCAGGAAGAACACCGGUGGCGAAGGCGGGUCUCUGGGCCGUUACUGACGCUGAGGAGCGAAAGCGUGGGGAGCGAACAGG
Molecule: ribosomal RNA, 752 nt
Filed under: uncultured Actinomyces sp.
Lineage: Bacteria; Bacillati; Actinomycetota; Actinomycetes; Actinomycetales; Actinomycetaceae
Description: bacterial SSU rRNA
Rfam family: Bacterial small subunit ribosomal RNA
Source: RNAcentral